UUUCGUAGUGUAGUGGUUAGCACUCCAGACUUUGAAUCUGGCGACCUGGGUUCGAAUCCCGGCGAGA
RNAcentral lists this transfer RNA (67 nucleotides) under Triticum aestivum (bread wheat). It matches the Rfam family "tRNA". Rfam says of the family: Transfer RNA (tRNA) molecules are approximately 80 nucleotides in length. Their secondary structure includes four short double-helical elements and three loops (D, anti-codon, and T loops). Further hydrogen bonds mediate the characteristic L-shaped molecular structure. tRNAs have two regions of fundamental functional importance: the anti-codon, which is responsible for specific mRNA codon recognition, and the 3' end, to which the tRNAs corresponding amino acid is attached (by aminoacyl-tRNA synthetases). tRNAs cope with the degeneracy of the genetic code in two manners: having more than one tRNA (with a specific anti-codon) for a particular amino acid; and 'wobble' base-pairing, i.e. permitting non-standard base-pairing at the 3rd anti-codon position. The record is from Rfam by way of RNAcentral. Lineage: Eukaryota; Viridiplantae; Streptophyta; Magnoliopsida; Poales; Poaceae. RNAcentral also lists the same sequence under 1 other name.